Myotis daubentonii (Daubenton's bat) is the source of this 1157-nucleotide long non-coding RNA. RefSeq lists it as uncharacterized. The transcript has 3 exons. The record is from RefSeq and is a predicted model, not a curated record. NCBI's taxonomy places the organism in Eukaryota, Metazoa, Chordata, Mammalia, Chiroptera, Vespertilionidae.
GUGCACCUCACCUGAGCGCCUCAGGCUGGGAAUCCGAGGACCCGGGGACUGGUCUGUUUACAUGGAAUUCUCGCGACAGCUGGUUAGAAGCUCAAAGCACGUGGACAUGGCAGCUGCCAAUCACUUUUAGUUGGCCACUCAUCCAUUCCGAACCCGCCUUCUGCCCCGCCCUUGCAAAUGUGUUUAUCUUCCGGGAAGCUAGGUUGGUGGAGGUUGGUGGAGGGUGGUGGGCAGCCCUGAAGCUGAGGAGGUGUUGAUCUGAAGGAGAGCCGCGGCGCGUGAUCUCCUCAGUUUAAUCUAGGUUUAUGGACCACACCUGACUCCUUCCUUCCCUCCUUCUGCCUCCCAUAUUUUUUAUUUCUUCAAAUGUAUUGUUUGUCAGGAGUGACUGAAAUAAAAAUAUAAUAGAGUCCAUCAUCAUCAUGGGAAUGGCUUUAAAAGAAAACUCGUCAGAGGAAUAUUACUGCUUCCCAUUGUCAACCAGUAAAUAGUUGCAAUUGAAUUUCUUUGACUUGGUUUCAUCCUUUGUAAACUGUAGAAAGAAUAUUAUGUGCCUUGUAGGAUUUUUAUAGAAGUAAAUAAAUUUAAAAUUCUUAGAACUGUUAGGUCGAAAGGGGGUCCAGGAGCUGAUGCAUGCCUCCGCCAGGCAGAUGAUGAUGUAGAUACUGGGCCCUUCCUAGAAUCCGUAACAGGCCAGUGCACCAAACAGAUGACGACACCUGGAAGCCGUGACGACCCCCGCGGCAGGAACUCCCACAGCUCAUGCUGCACUGCCCUCACUGAACAGCUGUAUGAAAAAAUGCCCCUACUCCCUCUCGGCGCGACUGCACUGGCCCAAACCCAAGACCUGUGGACCUCGCCCGAGAGCGCAGAAUAAAUUCUCCUCCUUCAAUCUGCCGGACUCUCUGACUCAGUUUCCUGCUCCGCGAACCUCACAAGAACCAGUUAGAAACUUCUCCAAAUUAACUAAUUACUAAUUAACCAAUGAACUAGUUCUAAGUCCUCCAUUUUUUUCUCUGCAGAGAUGGUGUGAUUCUUUCAUGAGCUUUCAAAUAAAAAAUAAAAUGAAUGGUAAUCAUUUUUUGAAUAUGAGUGCUUAGUACAUAUUGCCAGCUCAUGAAUAAUUUCAAAGUUAAGGGACCUGGGGAAACUUUUCA